UGAAAAUAAUAAUUCAUUGUAAUCAUACAUUUUUAAGCACAAAUUUUUAAAUGGUGUCACGGAUUCUCUCCGCUUGCACACCACUUACAAUUAAUCAAAUCUUGUCUCCCCUGGUCACAAUCUAAGAUAAAGCUUGUACCCAAGCACCCAAGAGAAGGAAUGACAAGAGGGGGAAACACCCCCAUUCAGUCUCAUCCUCUUUCAGACUGGUGAACUUGUUCAUAACUUUUUUGUUUUUAUAUAAAUAAUAAUACAAAGACUUUCAUAAAAUCACAUUUCAAUAGAGGAAAUAAAUUCUAAAACACAUUCCAGGAUUUCCAGUAUGAUCAUGAAGUCUGCUGCAGCAAAGGUCCAGAAAAAAAUAUGGCAAUAAAGGUCUAUAAAAUGAUGUUCAUAACUUGUGCGCUUAGACCGUGAACAAGAAAGGGAGAUUGGAUUUGUGAACCUUUCAGUGAAAGAACAUUUGCUUCUGACAACGUAAACUUGAGAGAGAUUUUGGGGAUAAAAAUCGAGUUUCCUUUCUUGUCAUUCCAUCUCUUCAGUGACACCAACUCAGUCGUACAGAAUAGAAUCUAGCAAAAAGAGGAUAGCUUCCCUUGUAUGCACUACAGCAUAUAAAUCAGAGAUUCUCUCCCUUGUACACUAAAAUAUUCAAACAACUACUCUCUAUGUACACAAUGCAAACCAAAGCGCACAUAAUUUACACACUAAAUCUCAUACACAUAUGCAGCACAGACACCACCAUUAACACGUUGCACUUAUACACCAUAUGUAACACAGACACACCCUCACCAACACAUAUGGGUUACAAACAUGCAGCCCCCCCCCUCCCCGCACACAUACAAAUCCAACACGCCUCAGUGAGUGCAUGUCUAACAAUUAAUCAACUAUGAACACAAACCAAAAAAAAGAGAAACACAGAUAAUUGUCUAUAUUACAAAAUAUGGCAGAACUAGUCUCCACAGUGUAGACCGUGAGUAAACAUAACUUGAAGCUAUGCAACACUGCCUUCACUAAGUCAAUAGUAAAAAAAAAAAAAAAAAU
Molecule: non-coding RNA, 1044 nt
Organism: Biomphalaria pfeifferi
Lineage: Eukaryota; Metazoa; Mollusca; Gastropoda; Planorbidae
Source: the annotation of a GenBank genome assembly